UUUGAACGCCCCGACGCUCGACGCGUGCGGAAGUUGCUUCAAGGAGGAACAAGAGGAAUAUAGGGGAAUAGGCGAGUCAGCUGGACAAUCAAUAAAAAGCGAACGUUAAUGGUUACGAUGCACGCAAGGAAGGAAGUGCCAUUCCGCACUUUCGCGCCAAGAACAUCGGUAUAAUCGUGAAGAAGAUUUCUGUACAGUAUCAAUGCUGGCACAUCACAAACCCCAUUUGUAAACGCUAAAAAGAAGACAAUCACAAAGGCAGAGUAAAGAGGGAGGAAUGUAGGCAAGAAUGUGAAAUAAUUUAUUAAACCACUUACCCAAGUAUAGAUUAUAGAGAAAGCAUACAUUUAUUUAUAUACAUAAUAUAUAAGUAUCAUUGUGACUUCAUGUUGAACAGCGAGAUUAAUAAAUAAGAGUUAACCCCUUG
Vollenhovia emeryi is the source of this 427-nucleotide long non-coding RNA. RefSeq lists it as uncharacterized. The transcript has 3 exons. The record is from RefSeq and is a predicted model, not a curated record. NCBI's taxonomy places the organism in Eukaryota, Metazoa, Arthropoda, Insecta, Hymenoptera, Formicidae.